This 455-nucleotide ribosomal RNA is filed under the name uncultured bacterium. RNAcentral describes it as "bacterial SSU rRNA". It matches the Rfam family "Bacterial small subunit ribosomal RNA", at positions 340 to 786 of the family's 1533-position model. The record is from RNAcentral.
UACGGGAGGCAGCAGUGGGGAAUAUUGCACAAUGGGCGCAAGCCUGAUGCAGCCAUGCCGCGUGUAUGAAGAAGGCCUUCGGGUUGUAAAGUACUUUCAGUCGUGAGGAAGGUGUUAAGGUUAAUAACCUUAGCAAUUGACGUUAGCGACAGAAGAAGCACCGGCUAACUCCGUGCCAGCAGCCGCGGUAAUACGGAGGGUGCGAGCGUUAAUCGGAAUUACUGGGCGUAAAGGGCACGCAGGCGGUUAAUUAAGUUGGAUGUGAAAUCCCCGGGCUUAACCUGGGAAUGGCAUUCAAGACUGGUUAGCUAGAGUCUUGUAGAGGGGGUAGAAUUCCAUGUGUAGCGGUGAAAUGCGUAGAGAUGUGGAGGAAUACCGGUGGGCGAAGGCGGCCCCUGGGACAAAGGACUGACGCUCAUGUGCGAAAGCGUGGGGAGCAAACAGGAUUAGAUACC